RNAcentral lists this ribosomal RNA (496 nucleotides) under uncultured bacterium. Its description in RNAcentral is "partial 16S ribosomal RNA". It matches the Rfam family "Bacterial small subunit ribosomal RNA", at positions 29 to 507 of the family's 1533-position model. The record is from RNAcentral.
AUGAACGCUGGCGGCGUGCCUAAUACAUGCAAGUCGAGCGAACAGACGAGGAGCUUGCUCCUCUGACGUUAGCGGCGGACGGGUGGGUAACACGUGGAUAACCUACCUAUAAGACUGGGAUAACUUCGGGAAACCGGAGCUAAUACCGGAUAAUAUAUUGAACCGCAUGGUUCAAUAGUGAAAGACGGUUUUGCUGUCACUUAUAGAUGGAUCCGCGCCGCAUUAGCUAGUUGGUAAGGUAACGGCUUACCAAGGCGACGAUGCGUAGCCGACCUGAGAGGGUGAUCGGCCACACUGGAACUGAGACACGGUCCAGACUCCUACGGGAGGCAGCAGUAGGGAAUCUUCCGCAAUGGGCGAAAGCCUGACGGAGCAACGCCGCGUGAGUGAUGAAGGUCUUCGGAUCGUAAAACUCUGUUAUUAGGGAAGAACAAAUGUGUAAGUAACUAUGCACGUCUUGACGGUACCUAAUCAGAAAGCCACGGCUAACUACGUG